Molecule: non-coding RNA, 109 nt
Organism: Vibrio vulnificus YJ016
Lineage: Bacteria; Pseudomonadati; Pseudomonadota; Gammaproteobacteria; Vibrionales; Vibrionaceae
Source: Rfam
UGACCCUUAUUAAGCCGAGGGUCACCUAGCCAACUGACGUUGUUAGUGAAUAAUGACUUGUUCACACAUAAAUACGGCCAAACACCUGAUUGUAUUUGGCCUUUUUUUU